Molecule: ribosomal RNA, 253 nt
Filed under: uncultured bacterium
Lineage: Bacteria
Description: partial 16S ribosomal RNA
Rfam family: Bacterial small subunit ribosomal RNA
Source: RNAcentral
UACAGGGGGGGCAAGCGUUGUUCGGAAUUACUGGGCGUAAAGGGUUCGUAGGUGGCCAACUAAGUCAGACGUGAAAUCCCUCAGCUUAACUGGGGAACUGCGUCUGAUACUGGAUGGCUUGAGUGCAGGAGAGGAAUGCGGAAUUCCAGGUGUAGCGGUGAAAUGCGUAGAUAUCUGGAGGAACACCGGUGGCGAAGGCGGCAUCCUGGACCGGUAUUGACGCUGAGGCGCGAAAGCCAGGGGAGCAAACGGG